UGACAAAAACAAAGGUGGAUGCUCGC
This 26-nucleotide non-coding RNA is filed under the name Rattus norvegicus (Norway rat). Lineage: Eukaryota; Metazoa; Chordata; Mammalia; Rodentia; Muridae. The record is from RNAcentral.